Molecule: ribosomal RNA, 460 nt
Filed under: uncultured bacterium
Lineage: Bacteria
Description: partial 16S ribosomal RNA
Rfam family: Bacterial small subunit ribosomal RNA
Source: RNAcentral
CCUACGGGAGGCAGCAGUGAGGAAUAUUGGUCAAUGGACGAGAGUCUGACCCAGCCAAGUAGCGUGAAGGAUGACUGCCCUAUGGGUUGUAAACUUCUUUUAUAAAGGAAUAAAACGAGGCACGUGUGCCUUUUUGCAUGUACUUUAUGAAUAAGGAUCGGCUAACUCCGUGCCAGCAGCCGCGGUAAUACGGAGGAUCCGAGCGUUAUCCGGAUUUAUUGGGUUUAAAGGGAGCGUAGAUGGGUUGUUAAGUCAGUUGUGAAAGUUUGCGGCUCAACCGUAAAAUUGCAAGUGAUACUGGCAGUCUUGAGUACAGUUGAGGUAGGCAGAAUUCGUGGUGUAGCGGUGAAAUGCUUAGAUAUCACGAAGAACCCCGAUUGCGAAGGCAGCUUACUAAACUGUGACUGACAUUGAUGCUCGAAAGUGUGGGUAUCAAACAGGAUUAGAUACCCUAGUAGUC